Molecule: unclassified non-coding RNA, 206 nt
Filed under: uncultured fungus
Lineage: Eukaryota; Fungi
Description: partial contains 18S rRNA, ITS1, 5.8S rRNA, ITS2 and 28S rRNA
Source: RNAcentral
AUGGAUCAUUACCAAAGGAUUAUUAAUCCCGACGUACUAUGUGAACUGUAUAGAAUUGACGGUCAGUGUGUGUGUGUGUACUUUUACACACGCUCGCACUGGCCGUACCCUAUUAUACGUAUUUUUUUGAACUGAAAUCCUACUUUAGUAGUUUUUAUAAAAUAACAAACUAAAGACAACUUUUAGCAACGGAUCUCUUGGCUCUC